CCUACGGGAGGCUGCAGUGAGGAAUAUUGGUCAAUGGACGAGAGUCUGAACCAGCCAAGUAGCGUGAAGGAUGACUGCCCUAUGGGUUGUAAACUUCUUUUAUAAAGGAAUAAAACGAGGCACGUGUGCCUUUUUGCAUGUACUUUAUGAAUAAGGAUCGGCUAACUCCGUGCCAGCCGCCGCGGUAAUACGGAGGAUCCGAGCGUUAUCCGGAUUUAUUGGGUUUAAAGGGAGCGUAGAUGGGUUGUUAAGUCAGUUGUGAAAGUUUGCGGCUCAACCGUAAAAUUGCAAUUGAUACUGGCAGUCUUGAGUACAGUUGAGGUAAGCGGAAUUCGUGGUGUAGCGGUGAAAUGCUUAGAUAUCACGAAGAACCCCGAGUGCGAAGGCAGCUUACUAAACUGUGACUGACAUUGAUGCUCGAAAGUGUGGGUAUCAAACAGGAUUAGAUACCCUUGUAGUC
This 460-nucleotide ribosomal RNA is filed under the name uncultured bacterium. RNAcentral's name for it is "partial 16S ribosomal RNA". It matches the Rfam family "Bacterial small subunit ribosomal RNA", at positions 338 to 795 of the family's 1533-position model. The record is from RNAcentral.